RNAcentral lists this long non-coding RNA (218 nucleotides) under Mytilus galloprovincialis (Mediterranean mussel). The record is from RNAcentral. Lineage: Eukaryota; Metazoa; Mollusca; Bivalvia; Mytilida; Mytilidae.
AAAAGAAUUAGGAUUUAUACAAAGCACAAUAUUACAAUCUAAAUUUAAUAAAGUUGUUGAUCAAUUUUUGUGUGUGAAAUCUCGAUGAAAUGAAAUGAAAAGGGCGCGUAAAACAAUUUAUAAAGUCCGAAAACCGAAUUUCUCAGUAUUGUGCAGCAGAAAUAGUAAGACAUCUGAAAAAGAAAAGAAAUGCAAAUACUUUUGAAUGAUUUUAAUGU